This 331-nucleotide ribosomal RNA is filed under the name uncultured bacterium. RNAcentral's name for it is "bacterial SSU rRNA". It matches the Rfam family "Bacterial small subunit ribosomal RNA", at positions 30 to 355 of the family's 1533-position model. The record is from RNAcentral.
AUUGAACGCUGGCGGCAUGCCUUACACAUGCAAGUCGAACGGCAGCACGGGUGCUUGCACCUGGUGGCGAGUGGCGAACGGGUGAGUAAUAUAUCGGAACGUACCUUAUCGUGGGGGAUAACGCAGCGAAAGCUGCGCUAAUACCGCAUACGCCCUGAGGGGGGAAAAGCGGGGGGACCGUAAGGGCCUCGCGCGAUUAGAGCGGCCGAUAUCUGAUUAGGUAGUUGGUGGGGUAAAGGCUCACCAAGCCAACGAUCUGUAGCUGGUCUGAGAGGACGACCAGCCACACUGGAACUGAGACACGGUCCAGACUCCUACGGGAGGCAGCAGU